Cyanistes caeruleus (blue tit) is the source of this 1150-nucleotide long non-coding RNA. RefSeq lists it as uncharacterized. Lineage: Eukaryota; Metazoa; Chordata; Aves; Passeriformes; Paridae. The record is from RefSeq and is a predicted model, not a curated record.
CAUACACAGAGUGUCUGGGACAGGAGAAGGUGCUGAAUCACUUUAUGGGCUUUCCAGGUAUAAAACAUGGGGUUCCAGUGGGCAAAAGCAGCAGGAAAAGCCAGCAAGAACACAGGGCUCCAUGAAUUUCAUGUUUGGAAGAACAGGAAUCUUCAAGGCCAGGUUGGACGGGAUGUGGAGCACCCUGGGACAGCAGAAGGUGUCCCUGGCCAUGGCAGGGCUGGAAUUUGGAUGAGCUUCAAGGUCCCUUCAGCCCAAACCAACCUGAGACACCGUGACCCCUGUGCUGCUCUGAGCCUCAGAGGAAAGAGCUCUGGGACAUAAAGGGAUGAUGGAUAAACAGGAAAAGGUUUUGGGUUUGUCUUCUCCACUCCUUCAGCCUCAUCCUCCCUCCAGGAGCCCUUUCUCCAGCUCCAGAUGCCCCAAAUGCAGAACCUCAGGGCAUGUCCUUGCCAGCAGUGCCCACAUCCCCUCCCAAGAGAGGGCUGAUCUGGGAACUCAUCCCACAAGCUCAAUAAUGAGUGGAAACUGAGACCUCAACCUGUGCUUUCUUUGUUUGUGAUCCUCCCUGGUCAGAGAGCAGAAAAUCAUAAUUUAUAGUGGCAAUUGUCAGCAUUUGUAACCAAGUUCUUGGCUAAAAUACUGGAAAUAUGAUUAAAAAAAUUAAAAAUGGCAGAUGGUGUCAUUCUGCUAAACAUAUUUUGCUGAUGCCUGUUGAUUUAGAAGUGCUCAAAAUGAUUUUAACAGGAGUUUUAUUGUGCAAGGACUUCAAUUUCCAACAUUUCUUGCUAAUGAGCAGCAUCAAUAAUCAAACUCAUCAAUCCCCUUGAAUCCCAAAGUGUCUUCAGUAGGAAUGCGGGGGAGGAAGCCUCAAUCAUGUCUGGGAUCUCUGUGAAGCAAUUCAAACUUCACAGUUGUUCAGGAGCAAAGUCUUAAACUUCUGCCUUAACUUUUAUUUAAAAGUGGUUCUGGCCUGGUAAAAAAAAAAAAAAUACAAACCAGCACAAUGUUAAUGUGAAGAUCUUGCAUGAAAAUACAGUUAAGAACUGUAUUUAAAACCAGAUUAUCAAAGCUUCAAUUCGUCAUUAAUUUUGGUAUUUGCAGCCAUUUUUUAAGACCAUUUGGUCUGAUUUAUAAUAUUUCUCGAGUU